Molecule: long non-coding RNA, 1191 nt
Filed under: Homo sapiens (human)
Lineage: Eukaryota; Metazoa; Chordata; Mammalia; Primates; Hominidae
Description: HSALNT0329863
Source: RNAcentral
UUGUCCGCGUUGAUGGAGACCAGGGAUGUGAGGGGCAGCCGCGGUCUGUGGCGCCCACGCGGAACUCGAACGCCUGCAGGGCCUCGUAGUCCAGGGACCUGAGGGCAAACAGGUGGCCGUUGUCCGCGUUGAUGGAGACCAGGGAGGCGAGGGGCAGGUUUCUCUGUUACCAGAGUAUAGAAGUUUUCGACAGAUGGCUUCAGGAUGAAGGGGACAUCGUCCUGGAUGGAGCACACUGUCUUUCCAUUGUUCCCGGAAUCUCUGUCUCUAAUCCUAAAAACAGCCACGACUGUCUCGGCCAGCAGCGCCACCUUGCGUUUUGUGGAUGUUAUUCCCGUUAUCAAGACUAGAACAAAAAGAUGGCGGAUUGAAGGAAUUCUGCAACAAGAAUGAUUUGUCCCCGGUAUCUUUGCUGUUUCAUUCCAUCUUUAUCCUCAAAUGGUCACAGUAAUGCUACCACAGAAUAGCGUCUUGACUCGGACCCAGCCAGAGACCCUCCCAGAAAAACAAAGAGAAGCAAGACUUGCCUUUGUCUAAGAAAUCGCUCUCCUCCCGCCUCCAUUGCACUUUCCGUCACGCUCUUCCAGGGAAUGUCGCCAAGCUGAACCUCAGACAGAGCUGGGAAACAGUCUUUUGCCCCACAACCUUUGUAGACGGCCUAGUGAAUAAGCCUUUCCAGAGGCUCAGACUUGCUGGCUCAAAAAUCUGCCUGGGCUCUCAACCGCUGGUUUACCACACUGGAUCCGUGCGUCACCGAGCAUGCACAAUGCCUGUGGUUUAAUUCGCCUUCUUAGUCAACAGCGCCACCAUGCGUUCGCUUGCAGUUACAAAAUCUUGGAGAAGGUGUUUUUAUUUUGCUUUAUCGAUUAUUCUUAUCAACCCUAGUUGACGCUACUGGAGGAGUUUCUCAUGUUAUAUGAAUUAAAUAAAUGCAAUCUAGGGAAAUAAAAUGCACUUUUAUCUACGAGCAGCGAUUCUUCCUGGUAGAGUCCUCAUUUACACGAUUUAACGGAAGUGUACACAUACUAGUUUACCCCUCCCCUUUUGUAAUAAUUACACACAAACUUCAAAAGAUUUUUGCUCUAGAUGAUAGCAUGCUUCACUAUCCUAUUUAUGUUUUUCUUUUUUUCCUAAACUUUGUGAAAUGAGCCCGAAUUGCAUAUACCAGAAAAACACAAGGAAAAGACACCU